GAAUCCCGUCUUUGACAUGGACUACCUGUACACCGUGGUACGCUCUCGAAGAGUCGAGUUGUUUGGGAAUGCAGCUCAAAAUGGGUGGUAAAUGCCAUCUAAGGCUAAAUAUUGGCGAGAGACCGAUAGCGAACAAGUACCGUGAGGGAAAGAUGAAAAGAACUUUGGAAAGAGAGUUAAACUAGUACGUGAAAUUGCUGAAAGGGAAACGCUUGAAGUCAGUCGCGUUGGCUAGAAAUCAGCCUUGCUCUUGCUUGGUGUACUUUCUGGUUGACGGGUCAGCAUCAAUUUUGACCAUUGGAUAAAGUCUUUGGGAAUGUGGCAUCUUAGGACGUGUUAUAGCCCAUUGUCGCAUACGGUGGUUGGGAUUGAGGAGUUCAGCACGCCGCAAGGCCGGGUUUCGACCACGUUCGUGCUUAGGAUGCUGGCAUAAUGGCUUUAAUCGACCCGUCUUGAAACACGGACCAAGGAGUCUAACAUGCCUGCGAGUGUUUGGGUGGAAAACCCAUGCGCGCAAUGAAAGUGAAAGUUGAGAUCCCCUCAAGGGGAGCAUCGACGCCCGGACCAGAGCUUCUGUGACGGAUCCGCGGUAGAGCAUGUAUGUUGGGACCCGAAAGAUGGUGAACUAUGCCUGAAUAGGGUGAAGCCAGAGGAAACUCUGGUGGAGGCUCGUAGCGAUUCUGACGUGCAAAUCGAUCGUCAAAUUUGGGUAUAGGGGCGAAAGACUAAUCGAACCAUCUAGUAGCUGGUUCCUGCC
RNAcentral lists this ribosomal RNA (757 nucleotides) under uncultured Inocybe. RNAcentral's name for it is "partial 28S ribosomal RNA". It matches the Rfam family "Eukaryotic large subunit ribosomal RNA", at positions 216 to 962 of the family's 3401-position model. The record is from RNAcentral. Lineage: Eukaryota; Fungi; Basidiomycota; Agaricomycetes; Agaricales; Cortinariaceae.